RNAcentral lists this ribosomal RNA (253 nucleotides) under uncultured bacterium. Its description in RNAcentral is "partial 16S ribosomal RNA". It matches the Rfam family "Bacterial small subunit ribosomal RNA", at positions 524 to 776 of the family's 1533-position model. The record is from RNAcentral.
UACGUAGGGGGCAAGCGUUGUCCGGAAUUAUUGGGCGUAAAGAGCGUGUAGGCGGCCAGAUAAGUCCGCUGUGAAAUCUCGAGGCUCAACUUCGAGCUGUCGGUGGAAACUAUCUGGCUAGAGUCCGGAAGAGGAGAAUGGAAUUCCUGGUGUAGCGGUGAAAUGCGCAGAUAUCAGGAAGAACACCCGUGGCGAAGGCGGUUCUCUGGGCCUUAACUGACGCUGAGGAGCGAAAGCGUGGGGAGCGAACAGG